Molecule: ribosomal RNA, 467 nt
Filed under: uncultured bacterium
Lineage: Bacteria
Description: partial 16S ribosomal RNA
Rfam family: Bacterial small subunit ribosomal RNA
Source: RNAcentral
GACGAACGCUGGCGGCGUGCUUAACACAUGCAAGUCGAACGGAAAGGCCCUGCUUUUGUGGGGUGCUCGAGUGGCGAACGGGUGAGUACACGUGAGUUACCUGCCCUUGGAUUUGGGAUAAAUUCAAGAAACUGGGGCUAAUACCGGAUAGGAGCUCCUGCUGCAUGGGGGGGGGUGGGAAGUUUCGGCGGUUGGGGAUGGACUCGCGGCUUAUCAGCUUGUUGGUGGGGUAGUGGCUUACCAAGGCUUUGACGGGUAGCCGGCCUGAGAGGGUGACCGGCCACAUUGGGACUGAGAUACGGCCCAGACUCCUACGGGAGGCAGCAGUGGGGAAUAUUGCACAAUGGGCGGAAGCCUGAUGCAGCAACGCCGCGUGCGGGAUGACGGCCUUCGGGUUGUAAACCGCUUUCGCCUGUGACGAAGCGUGAGUGACGGUAAUGGGUAAAGAAGCACCGGCUAACUACGUG